CAUGCAGGCGGUCGGGCAAGUAGGAUGUGAAAGCCCCGGGCUCAACCUGGGAACUGCAUUCUAAACUGUCCGACUAGAGUAUUGCAGGGGGAGACGGAAUUCCAGGUGUAGCGGUGGAAUGCGUAGAUAUCUGGAAGAACACCAAAGGCGAAGGCAGUCUCCUGGGCAAAUACUGACGCUUAUAUGCGAAAGCGUGGGUAGCAAACA
This 207-nucleotide ribosomal RNA is filed under the name uncultured Succinivibrio sp. RNAcentral describes it as "partial 16S ribosomal RNA". It matches the Rfam family "Bacterial small subunit ribosomal RNA", at positions 568 to 774 of the family's 1533-position model. Lineage: Bacteria; Pseudomonadati; Pseudomonadota; Gammaproteobacteria; Aeromonadales; Succinivibrionaceae. The record is from RNAcentral.